RNAcentral lists this ribosomal RNA (425 nucleotides) under uncultured cyanobacterium. RNAcentral's name for it is "bacterial SSU rRNA". It matches the Rfam family "Bacterial small subunit ribosomal RNA", at positions 355 to 795 of the family's 1533-position model. Lineage: Bacteria; Bacillati; Cyanobacteriota. The record is from RNAcentral.
UGGGGAAUUUUCCGCAAUGGGCGAAAGCCUGACGGAGCAACGCCGCGUGAGGGAUGAAGGCCUCUGGGCUGUAAACCUCUUUUAUCAAGGAAGAAGAUCUGGCGGUACUUGAUGAAUAAGCCACGGCUAAUUCCGUGCCAGCAGCCGCGGUAAUACGGGAGUGGCAAGCGUUAUCCGGAAUUAUUGGGCGUAAAGCGUCCGCAGGCGGCCUCGUAAGUCUGUCGUUAAAGCGUGGAGCUUAACUCCAUUUCGGCGAUGGAAACUGUGAGGCUUGAGUGUGGUAGGGGCAGAGGGAAUUCCCGGUGUAGCGGUGAAAUGCGUAGAUAUCGGGAAGAACACCAGUGGCGAAGGCGCUCUGCUGGGCCAUAACUGACGCUCAUGGACGAAAGCCAGGGGAGCGAAAGGGAUUAGAUACCCCUGUAGUC